GACGAACGCUGGCGGCGUGCUUAACACAUGCAAGUCGAACGCUGAAGCCCUGGCUUUUGUUGGGUUGGAUGAGUGGCGAACGGGUGAGUAACACGUGAGUAACCUGCCCUCUUCUUUGGGAUAACGCCCGGAAACGGGUGCUAAUACUGGAUAUUCACUGAUCUUCGCAUGGGGGUUGGUGGAAAGGUUUGUUCUGGUGGGGGAUGGGCGCGCGGGCUAUCAGCUUGUUGGUGGGGUGAUGGCCUACCAAGGCUGUGACGGGUAGCCGGCCUGAGAGGGUGACCGGUCACAUUGGAACUGGGACACGGCCCAGACUGCUACGGGAGGCAGCAGUGGGGAAUAUUGGACAAUGGGCGAAAGGCUGAUGCAGCGACGAGGCGUGAGGGAUGGAGGCCUUCGGGUUGUAAUCCUCUUUCGCGCACGGUUAAGCCGCAACUGUGGGUUGUGGUGAGGGUAGUGGGUAAAGAAGCGCCGGCUAACUACGUG
RNAcentral lists this ribosomal RNA (486 nucleotides) under uncultured bacterium. RNAcentral describes it as "partial 16S ribosomal RNA". It matches the Rfam family "Bacterial small subunit ribosomal RNA", at positions 28 to 507 of the family's 1533-position model. The record is from RNAcentral.